RNAcentral lists this ribosomal RNA (429 nucleotides) under Actinomycetes bacterium. RNAcentral describes it as "Actinobacteria bacterium partial 16S ribosomal RNA". It matches the Rfam family "Bacterial small subunit ribosomal RNA", at positions 355 to 776 of the family's 1533-position model. The record is from RNAcentral. Lineage: Bacteria; Bacillati; Actinomycetota; Actinomycetes.
UAGGGAAUCUUCCGCAAUGGGCGAAAGCCUGACGGAGCAACGCCGCGUGAGUGAUGAAGGUCUUCGGAUCGUAAAACUCUGUUAUUAGGGAAGAACAAAUGUGUAAGUAACUAUGCACGUCUUGACGGUACCUAAUCAGAAAGCCACGGCUAACUACGUGCCAGCAGCCGCGGUAAUACGUAGGUGGCAAGCGUUAUCCGGAAUUAUUGGGCGUAAAGCGCGCGUAGGCGGUUUUUUAAGUCUGAUGUGAAAGCCCACGGCUCAACCGUGGAGGGUCAUUGGAAACUGGAAAACUUGAGUGCAGAAGAGGAAAGUGGAAUUCCAUGUGUAGCGGUGAAAUGCGCGGAGAUAUGGGGGAACACCAGUGGCGAAGGCGACUUUCUGGUCUGUAACUGACGCUGAUGUGCGAAAGCGUGGGGAUCAAACAGG